This 484-nucleotide ribosomal RNA is filed under the name uncultured bacterium. RNAcentral describes it as "partial 16S ribosomal RNA". It matches the Rfam family "Bacterial small subunit ribosomal RNA", at positions 30 to 507 of the family's 1533-position model. The record is from RNAcentral.
AUUGAACGCUGGCGGCAGGCCUAACACAUGCAAGUCGAGCGGAUGAAGGGAGCUUGCUCCUGGAUUCAGCGGCGGACGGGUGAGUAAUGCCUAGGAAUCUGCCUGGUAGUGGGGGAUAACGUCCGGAAACGGGCGCUAAUACCGCAUACGUCCUGAGGGAGAAAGUGGGGGAUCUUCGGACCUCACGCUAUCAGAUGAGCCUAGGUCGGAUUAGCUAGUUGGUGGGGUAAAGGCCUACCAAGGCGACGAUCCGUAACUGGUCUGAGAGGGUGAUCAGUCACACUGGAACUGAGACACGGUCCAGACUCCUACGGGAGGCAGCAGUGGGGAAUAUUGGACAAUGGGCGAAAGCCUGAUCCAGCCAUGCCGCGUGUGUGAAGAAGGUCUUCGGAUUGUAAAGCACUUUAAGUUGGGGGAAAGGGAAGUAAGUUAAUACCUUGCUGUUUUGACGUUACCAACAAAAUAAGCACCGGCUAACUUCGUG